This 472-nucleotide ribosomal RNA is filed under the name uncultured bacterium. RNAcentral describes it as "bacterial SSU rRNA". It matches the Rfam family "Bacterial small subunit ribosomal RNA", at positions 19 to 518 of the family's 1533-position model. The record is from RNAcentral.
AUGGCUCAGGAUGAACGCUGGCGGCGUGCCUAACACAUGCAAGUCGAGCGAUUACUUCGGUAAAGAGCGGCGGACGGGUGAGUAACGCGUGGGUAACCUGCCUCAUACACAUGGAUAACAUACCGAAAGGUAUGCUAAUACAGGAUAAUAUAAGAGAUUCACAUGGAUUUCUUAUCAAAGCUCCGGCGGUAUGAGAUGGACCCGCGUCUGAUUAGCUAGUUGGUAAGGUAAUGGCUUACCAAGGCGACGAUCAGUAGCCGACCUGAGAGGGUGAUCGGCCACAUUGGAACUGAGACACGGUCCAAACUCCUACGGGAGGCAGCAGUGGGGAAUAUUGCACAAUGGGCGAAAGCCUGAUGCCAGCAACGCCGCGUGAGUGAUGAAGGCCUUCGGGUCGUAAAACUCUGUCCUCAAGGAAGAUAAUGACGGUACUUGAGGAGGAAGCCCCGGCUAACUACGUGCCAGCCGCUGC